UCCGGGCUGGGGUAGUGGUAUCCUGUAUCCCUGUGGCGGAUACGACGUGGGUUCAAUUCCCGCGCCCGGAC
Molecule: transfer RNA, 71 nt
Organism: Halorientalis sp. IM1011
Lineage: Archaea; Methanobacteriati; Methanobacteriota; Halobacteria; Halobacteriales; Haloarculaceae
Rfam family: tRNA
About the family: Transfer RNA (tRNA) molecules are approximately 80 nucleotides in length. Their secondary structure includes four short double-helical elements and three loops (D, anti-codon, and T loops). Further hydrogen bonds mediate the characteristic L-shaped molecular structure. tRNAs have two regions of fundamental functional importance: the anti-codon, which is responsible for specific mRNA codon recognition, and the 3' end, to which the tRNAs corresponding amino acid is attached (by aminoacyl-tRNA synthetases). tRNAs cope with the degeneracy of the genetic code in two manners: having more than one tRNA (with a specific anti-codon) for a particular amino acid; and 'wobble' base-pairing, i.e. permitting non-standard base-pairing at the 3rd anti-codon position.
Source: Rfam